GCACCACUUGGCAGUGGAGAAACCUUAAUCAUGAAGAUGUUUUCCCAGGGUGAAGUUUAGACAUUGCACUCUGGUUGUGCUGACCGCUGAGAUUUUUCCAAAUGUGGGAAACUUGUCUGCAUAAUUUGUGGUAAUAGGGGACUGCGUCCGUGUUUUCCCUGG
This 162-nucleotide small nuclear RNA is filed under the name Salvator merianae (Argentine black and white tegu). RNAcentral describes it as "U1 spliceosomal RNA (ENSSMRG00000009825.1)". It matches the Rfam family "U1 spliceosomal RNA". From Rfam's summary of the family: U1 is a small nuclear RNA (snRNA) component of the spliceosome (involved in pre-mRNA splicing). Its 5' end forms complementary base pairs with the 5' splice junction, thus defining the 5' donor site of an intron. There are significant differences in sequence and secondary structure between metazoan and yeast U1 snRNAs, the latter being much longer (568 nucleotides as compared to 164 nucleotides in human). The record is from RNAcentral. Lineage: Eukaryota; Metazoa; Chordata; Lepidosauria; Squamata; Teiidae.